UAUUAUGUUGGUGCAAAAGUUAUUGCGGUUUUUGCCAUUGAGAGUAAUGGCAAGAACCGCAAUAACUUUUGCACCAACCUAAUA
Non-coding RNA from Papio anubis (olive baboon), 84 nucleotides. NCBI's taxonomy places the organism in Eukaryota, Metazoa, Chordata, Mammalia, Primates, Cercopithecidae. The record is from Rfam.